Molecule: long non-coding RNA, 2108 nt
Filed under: Gallus gallus (chicken)
Lineage: Eukaryota; Metazoa; Chordata; Aves; Galliformes; Phasianidae
Description: lncRNA (ENSGALG00010003789.1)
Source: RNAcentral
GCUAAUGGAAUAAUAGGACCUGCUGGAGGCAAGUUCAUAAACUGCGGGCUGUGUAAUGGAUCAUCUCCAGGCUCUGCCACUGACUCCUCAAGAGAGACUCGUUGACAUACCUUUGCAUGAAGCAAUUCACUGCUUCUUGGAUCUCCCAUGAUUGUAUGAUUGAAGACGCUACUUCGUCUUCAAGGCAAAUUUGCUGUGGCCUCUCCAACCUGUCCUGCAGACUGAGAGGGGGAAAUCUGCCCCCAAGAGUGGAGUUGUACCAGUCAGAAUGAGGAUUUGCAUCGGUGCCCCCAUGGUUCGCAGCACUCUGGUGGUGGCUGCUCACCCCAAAUUGGACUUGGGGUGCCCACCCAUGGAAUGUGAGCACUCCUAAACCAGAGGAUUUUUGAGGAAAGGAUAAAAAAAGGUGUGUUUAAAGCACUGGAAACGCUGCAGAGCAUCCAGAGAAGGAAAAAGAGCAGGGAAAGGAGGGAAAGCUGAAAAUGGAACCAACAGAAGUCCAGGCAGGUUUGGCCCCAGGAGGAUGCUGGGAGAUGCUGAGGGCCUUUCUCUGCCCUCAUCGUGCUUUCUGAAGGCGAGGAGGCUGGGAUGCUUUGUGCAGGGACUGGAUGUGGGCAGGUGGAGCAGAAAGGUGGAGAAGAGACAAGACCAACAGGUUCCUGUGCUGCUGGGAUUGUGAGCAGCUGCACGCCUGAGCUGGGAUCCACCCUCUGCUGUGAGACAGCUCAUGAAAUGGGUCCAAAUGGGCUCUUUGGGGGUUUUAAAAACCUGGAUUGAAGGGAGGAUUUUUACAUGGGCUCCACUGUCUUUUGGGUGAGUCCAAACCUUGCUGGGGAGAUGGUUUGGACUUACUGGCACGAUGUAUGGAGUGUGCCUGCAGCGUCCUCCUGCUUGUCCCCAGCAUUGCUCACUGAACAUGAAGAUCCUCGAGCUAUUUUAAUCUGUUUUAACUAAACGAAUCAGCUCUCUGCUCCGUGGAGCCCACCGUGGUUGGAGAGGAAGAGGAUGCGUUUUGCAUUCCAGAGGAUGAAGGCAAAAUGCUUUUCAACUUCUGAGGUUGGCAAAAUCAAUUAAUAGGACACCGUCUCGCCCCACAGCCAGGGUGCAGCCCGUGCUCCUGCAUUAGGAAUACAGGAUGCUCUGAUGAUGCUGUACCCAGCCCUGCUCUGACCACAGGUUGAGAAGUCAUCUUUGCUCUGCCCAGCUGUGCACCCAGCCCUGCCCCUCCUCCAUCGUUAGGGAUUUGUUUGCUUAUUGCUGAAGUUAAUUUGGGUUUUGCCCUGCCCCGGCACCAUGGGAGCCCAGGGACAAGAAGCUUUUGCAGCUAAUCCUGGCCCAACCAGUGCAGCCAGUCAAGUGGGUCCAUUUCCCUGCUGGUGACCAUGAAGAGGUAGCAGGAGCUCUGCCAAUACAGCUUGGCUUGCAGAAUGACAUCCUUUGUCCAGGCUCUUUGCAUCCUCCUGUUAUUUCACACCCUGCUUAGAUUUCUUCUGGGAGAUCACUCUGGCCUCUGGGCUCUAAAACAGACGUAAACCCAUCUGGGCUGUGAGCAUGGCACUUUGGUGAUGAGAGACCACAAACAGAGCAUCGGGAAGAGCUGGGUGGUCUCAGCUCUUGAUGUGACACUAUGAACUGCCUGGUAAAAAUCUCCUUGGAAGAUCUGGGGCCAGAAAUCUUGAGCUGCUCCAGGCAGGGAUGGGCAGCACGUGGGGUAGCUCUGACCUUCGACUCAUUUUGCCUUUGGGAAAAACCAAUUCUUAUUCUUAUCCCUCUGCUCUGCUCGGAAUCUUCUCCGUGAGCCCAGGAGCUGGCUAGUUCUGCAAGGAGGACUUUGUCUUUCCCAUAUCUUACAUUCAGAUCCUGAUAGGGCAGAUAAGCCCCGGCUCCUUUUCCUCCCACAGCUUCCCACACCUGCAGCAUUGCAUGGGGUUGCUGUGGCCAAAGCACAGGACCCGGCACUCGAUCUUCUUGAACUCCAUCCCAUUGGCCUCAGCCCAGUGAUCAGCCUGCCCAGAUCCCUCCGUAGGGCCUUCCUAACCCCAGGAAGACCCACACUUUCCCCAGCUUGGUGUCAUCCAUCUGCAAACGUACUGAGGGUGCACUCAGUG